RNAcentral lists this ribosomal RNA (928 nucleotides) under Hebeloma velutipes. RNAcentral's name for it is "partial large subunit ribosomal RNA". It matches the Rfam family "Eukaryotic large subunit ribosomal RNA", at positions 40 to 952 of the family's 3401-position model. Lineage: Eukaryota; Fungi; Basidiomycota; Agaricomycetes; Agaricales; Hymenogastraceae. The record is from RNAcentral.
AUAUCAAUAAGCGGGGAAAAAGAAACUAACAAGGAUUCCCCUAGUAACUGCGAGUGAAGCGGGAAAAGCUCAAAUUUAAAAUCUGGCGGUCUCCGGCCGUCCGAGUUGUAAUCUAGAGAAGUGUUAUCCGCGCUGGACCGUGUACAAGUCUCCUGGAAUGGAGCGUCAUAGAGGGUGAGAAUCCCGUCUUUGACACGGACUGCCAGGGCUUUGUGAUGCGCUCUCAAAGAGUCGAGUUGUUUGGGAAUGCAGCUCAAAAUGGGUGGUAAAUUCCAUCUAAAGCUAAAUAUUGGCGAGAGACCGAUAGCGAACAAGUACCGUGAGGGAAAGAUGAAAAGAACUUUGGAAAGAGAGUUAAACAGUACGUGAAAUUGCUGAAAGGGAAACGCUUGAAGUCAGUCGCGUUGGCCGGGGAUCAACCUUGCUUUUGCUGGGCGUACUUUCCGGUUGACGGGUCAGCAUCAAUUUUGACCGUUGGAUAAAGUYCAGGGGAAUGUGGCAUCUUCGGAUGUGUUAUAGCCCUUGGUCGCAUACAACGGUUGGGAUUGAGGAACUCAGCACGCCGCAAGGCCGGGUACUUGUACCACGUUCGUGCUUAGGAUGCUGGCAUAAUGGCUUUAAUCGACCCGUCUUGAAACACGGACCAAGGAGUCUAACAUGCCUGCGAGUGUUUGGGUGGAAAACUCGGACGCGUAAUGAAAGUGAAAGUUGAGAUCCCUGUCGCGGGGAGCAUCGACGCCCGGACCAGACCUUUUGUGACGGAUCCGCGGUAGAGCAUGUAUGUUGGGACCCGAAAGAUGGUGAACUAUGCCUGAAUAGGGUGAAGCCAGAGGAAACUCUGGUGGAGGCUCGUAGCGAUUCUGACGUGCAAAUCGAUCGUCAAAUUUGGGUAUAGGGGCGAAAGACUAAUCGAACUCAUCUAGUAGCU